RNAcentral lists this long non-coding RNA (7533 nucleotides) under Helianthus annuus (common sunflower). RNAcentral describes it as "hypothetical non coding rna". The record is from RNAcentral. Lineage: Eukaryota; Viridiplantae; Streptophyta; Magnoliopsida; Asterales; Asteraceae.
UUAAUAUGAUCAUUGCCCCCGUUUAUACUAUUACUGAAAUUAUCCUCAAUAGUAUGUCUACUAGGAAUGAUAUGUUGCGGCUCGUUUGGACUUUUUAUAGCAGCAACGAAUAUUGGAAUUGCGUUGGCUAUCCCUUGAGCAACAAUAUUUUCAAUAUCUUGUUUGGUCAUAUAUUGAUCUUCUGGGUGAUGCUCUGACUGAUUACCUUCAUUUACUGGUUCGUUAUCAUUAUUUGCCAUCUGAUAAUAAUUUAUUAUGAGUAAUUAGUAAUUAGCAACUUAUACAAAUAAUCAGACAAUUCAUAACACAUAAAGUCAAAACUUAUCAAUUUCUCGAUUCCAUUUUAUAUCAGUAUAGUAUGCAUCAAUACACACCGAUAUUUUACAACGUUUUAUUCGUUAUGUUACAACUGGUUUCACUAUUUACUUUUACUAUUACACAACGAUAGUUUUAUCAUCUUCUUAUCUCUCGUUACUUGAUACCCUAAAAACGAAGUUCCCUUUCAUCAUAUUUCCAGGCAAUCUGUGUGACAACCCUCACUAAACCAGGUAUCCGUACGAUUUAAUUAAUAAUUAAUUGCUGCUAAAUUACUGUGCUUAACUGAAAUUGCCAAUGAAUUGCUACUUGAUUUCUAGCACUUGUAUAUUCCUGCAUCAUACUUUGAUUUCCGUCACUACAUUAUUUACACGUUGAACCUUAGUGACAAACAUGAUGCACUAAAGCACAGUAGCAUUAGAACGGAUAACCUAUUGAACAUGCUGAUAAAGCCAGCAUCAGGCAGACACUGCCUCUAAGGGCCUGUAUGAGCCAGAAAUAUUUUACUACACCCAUAAUGAGUGUAGGGAUACAAGGGUUGUAGAACUGCGUCUCUAGGAAUAAGAUAUAAUGAUUGGAUGUGCCUAAAACGUACUCUAAGCACAAAACACAGCACUUUUAUUUAACAUACUAGCUUCUGGCUAACUGAUAAAGUGCCAAAACAUGAGGAAAUAUUCCUGACACUUUGCAGAACAAGGUGUGUCACUAAAAGUAUUAUUAAUGACGCUUAAAAAGCUUACUUAAGCACUUUAAUGGAUUACUAUCCAACCGAACAACCGGAAUUUACCCGGAACAUAAAAAUAUUGCCAAAAAUAUUAUUGACCUUUUUCUGAGCCAGUUAGGGUCCCUGAUCACCCUAACACCCGCGUUAAAGCGCAACAUGUAACUAACUAAGUUAACCCCUAAUCUAACUUAGUUAAUCUAACUAAACUCUAACUAAACACUUGAAAUCGAACUAGAUACCCCCCCCAUUAGAAAUCGGCCAACUAGGGGGAACCACAAGAGUACAAUUUUGAUUAUUUAAUUGAUUUGUGCUUAAUAUCAAGAAGACAUAGUGACCAUUGGAGUAAGAACAAGGAAUUGUCUAUAAAUACAAACACUAAACACAUGAGAGAAUACACUUCACAAUCACCACAAAACUCUUUCUCUCCUCUCCUCCCAACUCUCGGCCGAACACUCCCCCUUGUCACCCAUCCAUUUUCGAGUCUUGAUCUCUUCAUUUCAACAUCAUACAAGUGAUAAGGGUCACGUAUUAGGAGUCUUGGAGCAAACGGAAGUGGAAGGACCUCGUUACCUUGCUUUUAUCCACCACAUUUUCGCCUAGAAUCUUCCCUAGCCCCGAGCUAGAGGUAUAAUGCUUAAAACUCAUUCUCGAACAUAUCUAAGGUCGUUAAUAAGAUUUGUAACGGUUAAAAUGCGGAAACUUAUCUUUUGAAUCUUUAAAGUUUACUAAAACAUGAAUCUUGUUGGUUAAAAGAUCAUAAGUUGUGUAAAAGUUGUAGUGUUUAAAUAUGGUGAUUAUUUAGGCCCGAUCUACGUUGUGGUAGCUCGGAUCAUCGUUUAACCCGACUUUGUUAAGAUCAUAGAUCUUGACAUAAGCUUGUUUCUAUCGGUACGAGGGUUAAAAGGUGAAACUCUACCACACGAGAAGCAUGAACUUGUAUAAAAGUAUUUUCACUUGUAAAAUAGUAUUUAAAACUAGCGGAUCUACGUAUGUACAAGUGGUAUUUUCGUAGAACCAAGUGUCGAGAAAAUCAUGUUUUAUAAAAGUCGGAUGACACACUAACAAAUAUGAUUUUUUACAAACCACAAGUGUAUAAACACUUGUGAACUGAAAAGUUUCGACAAAAUAACAAUCUUUGAGAAAGAUGACGGGAAGUUGUAAAGGAUGAUUUAUUCUAAAAACGAUGUUUUUACGGGAUUAAGUUAUUUUACACAUAGAUCCACAAAAUAUAACGGGAUCUACACUAUAGUUUUCGGAAAAACCACAAGUUCAUGUGAUUAUGCGAUUUUACAUACUUGUCGACUAGUUUGAUGUGUCGGAAAUUGAUUGAUUGAUUAAAGAAGUGUUGAAAUGAUUUUGUAAAAGAAAAUGAUACGCUAGAAAGCGUGGCCACCUCCAGUUACAGGGGAAACUCUGGCGAAAUUUUUCUAAAAAUAUAACACUUAGAAUUAUUUACAAGUGUUAGAAUUAUUUUUGAUAUGUUUUCAAAAUAUAUUUCGCCACGACUUUAUUUACAAAUAUUCGGAGGAGGGAUUUUCACAAAACUAAACGUGAUAAAUAUAUAUUUGGUAAAUAUAUUUUUCACAACACUGUUUAUGAUUAUUUUGUGAAAAUAUAUAAAUAUUAUUUUUAGAGUAAAAAUAAUAUUUCAAACGAUAACAAGACCCAAAAUAAUACAAACGCUUACACGACAAACAUAUAAGUUACAACGGUAAUUAUUAUUACCACACGAUUACUAAAACGUAACUUACGCAUUAUACGGAACUAUUCGUGAACGCGUAUUUCGUCAACGCAUUAUUUUGGAAGUUUUAUGGAAAGUGAAAAUAUAAUAUUUUUGAGAAAAAUAUAUAUAUUUUGGAAGUAGAAGUAAAAAUAUAUUAAGUGGGACUUAAUGAUAUAAUACAAAUACACAUGUAUUAAAUCCCCCAUCCUUGGGAAGGAGAUUAACUACCAAGUACAUGCAAAAUAUAAACACGAAAUAGUUGUCUAACUAUUUCCCAAAAACUUAAACUAUAAAGCUAAGGCACGGCCAUCCGUCUAAUAGAAUUAGCACAUGUAGGUCGUUGCACAGCUGCCUGACAUCCGGAUUACUUGGUAUAGCGACGCACUGACUGGUGUUAUCCCGUUAAGACAAUGUUAUGGGAAUUAAAAGAUCUGGCACGGUAUGGCAUGUUUUCCGCUGCAUUAGUCAUCGAGGUCAUCCAGGGUUCGGGGAAUGUGACUCUUUCUUGGACAAGUCACAGUCCUUGAAUCAUGUUUAUGUUAAGAUUGAAUUUUGUAAUGUUUGGUGAACAAGUUUAUGGUUGUUAGGGUGUUAUCCCGUUAAGACAAUGUUAUGGUAUUUUUAUUCUAAUGGAUGAUCUUGCAUAUUUUUAAUUCAUAUAGCUUUGUUAUGAUUAAGCUAUGGUAUUAAGAAGUCACACCAAAUUAACCACGCUUCCGCAAAGCCAGGGUGUGACAAUCUGUCCCCCUAUCUCCCUAAUUCUAUUCCCUGCAUCCAUCAAUUCUUCACCGAAAUGGCGAAGUUCAGCCAGAUUCUCAUUGCUCAUUGGUGGAUUAGGUAGGGGUUCUGGAUCGAAUUGUGGAAGAAAGGAAUAAGGGUCGUUGACAAUAUUUUGGAAUUGCCAAUCAUUUGUCCACCAUUCCUCCAUUUCUACAGGUUGGAAGUGUACUAUUGGAUCUGGGAUUGCUGGUCCAGAGUUCAUAGGAAGUGGAUUUUCAAUAGGAUAGGUAAAAAUAUUCGUAUUGACAGGCUGAAAAGUAUCACAGUUUGCCAAUAGAAUAUCUAUCUGCUCCUGAAAAGUUAGCCUUUGGUUUUGGUUGGUACUCUCCCCAAUUUCUACCUGAGUUGGUCUAGAAUCUUGCCCUAUUUCUGUUUCUAUUUCUUGAGAAUAUUCCUCAAACUGUUUCUCCAUUUGCCUAAACUCUUUAUUGGCUUCAGUUUCCCUCUCUUGCUGAUUAGGGUUUUCCUGGAUUAUAAUUGCCUUUCCUUUUCCUAAAGGGUCGUUAAUUCUAGGAGGUUUUGUAACUGGCUUUUUCCUACGUAUACGGCUUCUCCACACAUAAUUUUUCUUUUUCUUUCUUUUUGGUUUGGUCAAUGGUGGAGUAGGAAAUUUUACAGGUUGGUCCACAUCAGCAAAAUAUCCAGUAAAUUCAUGAGAAACUUCUAUAUUCACCGGGUAAAGAUUGAGGUUCUGAAAAGCUUCAGAUAUCUCGUUCAUGCUGUGUAGCAUAUAUGCAAAAUGCACAAACAUAUUAAGUUAAAACUUUGGAACAAAGUUUAACAAAUAAACAUGGAAGUUUUAUUGCACACUAUUUGUACAAAAUACAGGAAAACACAUUCAGAUUUAUUUUACUAAAUUUUAUUUAUUUACUUAUUGGGAAGUGCUGUUUGCCAGAUGUAGGGCAUCUAAAGAUUUGCAUGUUCUGCCACACUGGCUAACAUAUACAAAUUUGCCAAUUUUUCAUCGAGUUUAUCUUCCCAAGGUGAUUUCUUAAUUAACUCCUGGGUUUCCUUUAUAAUCUUCUUUUCUCUGAUUUGCUCCUUACUUUUCUUAAUAAUCAUAUUCCUUUUUCUAGGAGAAAGCGGAUAUUCAUAAUUCGCUUUUUGCACAAAUAUUCCUUCUUCAGGAAUUGUAGGGAGCUUUGAAAAUUUAGUUUUAGACGAACUUCCUUCUUCGUAGACUGACCUAUCUAGUUUAAGAUAGAUAUCUUGUAACUUUUGCUUACCCAUACUGUAAUUAACAAAUAAUCAGUUUAAAAGCACAUAAACACAUAAUCACGUAAUAGUAAUCAGGAAAAAUUAAGUAUCUUUUAAAUACUUAAUUAGCUUAACUUAGUGGCUCUGAUACCACCUUGUUUCUGUCACGGCCUCCGGCCCGGUUUGACCCGUUCCAGGAGCCGCGGGACAGAAAUCCUGCGGUACUUUGUUUAUUGUGAGUUUAGCAGCGGAAAUUUUAUUUACAGGAUCGUUUAAGCUAAAAACUUUCCCCGAUUAUUUUAUUUCACAAUUCGGGAUAAAACCCUGAUAAUUUACAAUAGUAAGAUUUUCUGGAUAAAACACAUUUCUUUAUUUUAUACUGAGCCACUAUCUUAAGCUUGAAAUGCUUCCCCUGCAUUUUUCCUGAAUUACAGCAGAUCACCUGAAACAUGUUUGGAAAAGAUUUUAUCAGCGGGGAAAUACUGAGUGAAUUAUUCUAGUUGCUGAAAAUGACACAUCUGUUAUAAUUCACAGUGUUAAGAUCUUUUACAAUGUUUCUGAUAUCAACCAACUACCCACAGUACUUUACCACUCGACCCAUUGGCCCACCUGUCCAAUGGUGUCUGUGAUUAUGGUCAUAUCACCCAAUGGCUGCCCCAAUGGUGACGAUUAUCAAGUAAAGUGCACAAUACCCCACAUACCGGCUGUAACUUGGUGAUUACAUAAACUUAAUCACUGUAAUUUAUAAUUCUGGAAAUAAUUUGGAGUAUUGUAAAACAGUUGAUAAAAAGAGAAUAACUCACAUUGCAGAUUUAGUACUGACAGAAUAUGAUUUUAGCCCUGUUAACCUAAUUUCAAUAAUAAUGCACACAAAACAGGGUUAGUGAACAAUACAACAGUCACGAUAUCUCACGAGAUCAAAUUCUCACAAUGAACGACAAAGUGCGAUACUUAAACUCAUUUAUCGAAUUAACGACAAACGACAAAGUAUAAUACUUAAACUCAUUCAUCGAAUUAACGAUAAACGACAAAGUAUGACCCAAUGUGGGCGGCACUUAAACAUUCUUUGGAUAUAUUGGUCUCGGAAACUGAAUCGUAAUAGCGAUCGAGUAAUUACCCUGUUCCGCGGCAGCACUUCGUGAUCGUGUGUGUUUAAUUUGUGAUAUAACAGCCUAACAUCGAUGUACAGAACGAAUUCGAUCGACGUUUUAACACCAACAGUCGAAUGCCAAGGUCGGUUAUUUAUAGCCCAAAUUUCAUGUUGCUUACGGACCGUAUGACCUAACCCUUACGGUCCGUAAGGCAAGCUGGUAGGCUUACGGUCCGUAAGGACUAACCCUUACGGUCCGUAAAGGUGCGGCCUAGCUUGUAGAUUAGCCUAGUCAGUGGCAUAGACUUGGUGAAUCAACAACAUUCGAAAUUCAGUAUAUACAACGCAUAAUUUAAGAUAAUUAUCGAAUAGGGUUUAACCCCCUGAGUUUUUAGGGCCCUGAUCCUGAUUCCGAUUAUUCCGGAAAUUUUAGGGUUAGUGCGGAAUUACUUGGGUGUCUCAAUUAAGGUUUCCUUAUUGACUAAUUAUUAUUCUAAUUACUAAUUUUAAUGAUAGUUGUUACAGUUUUGACCCACGACCCGACCCGACCCGACCUGAACCGACCCAUUUGCCAGGUCUAAUCUCAACACAAACAUCAAGCUGGUAAUACAGACCAAAAUCAUGCCACUUCACUUUUUAUCUAGCAAAAUAAAAUAGGUCUUCAUGUUUUAUAAAUCAUAAAUAUAAUAUUGUUUUAUGAACUUAUAUACUUAUCAAGGAGACAAACAAGGGAGCCUAGUAAAUCUAGCUGUACUGCUGACAGUAGCAGCAUUACGUUUGCUUCUGUCCCGCAAUCGAUCUGUUCAUAUAAUCAGGCUGCGGUAAUGGAAGCGAAUUUGGAUGAAUAGAACGAACUUUCAUCGAGGAGCAAUGAAUUACUGUUUUUGCUUCUGUUCCGCAAUCGAUCUGUCGUAUAAUCAGGCUGCGGUAAUGGAAGCGAAUUUGGAUGAAUAGAACGAACUUGCAUCGAGGAGCAAUGAAUUACUGUUCGAUGUAGCCGCUCAAUCUCCAACCCACUAUGGAUGUUACGUGAUGCUGGUGGGAGAGAACCCACUGCCAUGCCUCUGAAGAAGAGAAACAUCUUGCUAAUGAGUGUUCAGCAGAACUAAGUGCAAAAGUGAAUCAGAUACAGAGAUGGAGACUUGUCAACAGGAUAAGUCAAUAAUACUUAAAAGGAGGCUUGCUGAUGAGAUUGAAAGACAGAGGAUGAAAUGCUUCCCCUAACCGAAAAAAGAAGCAACAACGGGUGUAGGGUAUCAUAUUUAUUUUGAUACCGACAGGGACUUAAAGCUCGUUAAUUUGCAAGAAAAAAAGAGUGUAGCUGGCUAGUGAAGAAAUGUCGAAUUACUUGCAGCAUCAACCAUUUGUAGCCAUAGAUGGUCAAGGUGGGCUAAAAAGACCUGUUGAAAAUUCUCUGAGAUGCAAAGUUAUCUUUUAAAGGUAUUGACGAGGAAUGCAAACUUACCUUGCCGUGAAGCGCUCGUGCUUUUAUAUCUGUAUAUACAACUUAUAUAUGAAUCGUUUAAGGUUUGAAUUAUGUUUCCGCCUCGUAUUGUUGACUUCGCCGUAACGUGCGGGUUCCCCACUAGUUUGUUUGCAUGUCGACUUGUGUGAAAUAUCACCAAUUUAUGGUGGACUUUGUUUAUACACGCCCAAUUACUAAACUUUUGGUCUUUGGUUUUUUGUCUUUAUCGGAUUUUUUUU